RNAcentral lists this ribosomal RNA (644 nucleotides) under uncultured bacterium. RNAcentral's name for it is "bacterial SSU rRNA". It matches the Rfam family "Bacterial small subunit ribosomal RNA", at positions 114 to 774 of the family's 1533-position model. The record is from RNAcentral.
CGCGUGAGGAACCUGCCUCAAAGAGGGGGACAACAGUUGGAAACGACUGCUAAUACCGCAUAAGCCCACGGGUCGGCAUCGAUCUGAGGGAAAAGGAGCAAUCCGCUUUGAGAUGGCCUCGCGUCCGAUUAGCUAGUUGGUGAGGUAACGGCCCACCAAGGCGACGAUCGGUAGCCGGACUGAGAGGUUGAACGGCCACAUUGGGACUGAGACACGGCCCAGACUCCUACGGGAGGCAGCAGUGGGGAAUAUUGCACAAUGGGGGAAACCCUGAUGCAGCGACGCCGCGUGGAGGAAGAAGGUCUUCGGAUUGUAAACUCCUGUUGUUGAGGAAGAUAAUGACGGUACUCAACAAGGAAGUGACGGCUAACUACGUGCCAGCAGCCGCGGUAAAACGUAGGUCACAAGCGUUGUCCGGAAUUACUGGGUGUAAAGGGAGCGCAGGCGGGAAGACAAGUUGGAAGUGAAAUCUAUGGGCUCAACCCAUAAACUGCUUUCAAAACUGUUUUUCUUGAGUAGUGCAGAGGUAGGCGGAAUUCCCGGUGUAGCGGUGGAAUGCGUAGAUAUCGGGAGGAACACCAGUGGCGAAGGCGGCCUACUGGGCACCAACUGACGCUGAGGCUCGAAAGUGUGGGUAGCAAACA